This 300-nucleotide ribosomal RNA is filed under the name uncultured Natronorubrum sp. Its description in RNAcentral is "bacterial SSU rRNA". It matches the Rfam family "Bacterial small subunit ribosomal RNA", at positions 488 to 795 of the family's 1533-position model. Lineage: Archaea; Methanobacteriati; Methanobacteriota; Halobacteria; Halobacteriales; Natrialbaceae. The record is from RNAcentral.
UGGACCGACGUGCCGGCAGUAGUGUGAAUCGGAAGGGUUCGUGCUGUACUGGUAAUUACGAGGCGGCAAGGGGGCUUAGGCGGUUCUUUAAGUCUGUCGUUCAUGCCCCGGGCUCAACCUGGGAAUUGCAGUGGAUACUGGAGAGCUAGCGUGUGAUAGAGGAUUGUGGAAGUCCCGGUGUAGUGGUGAAAUGCGUAGAUAUCGGGAGGAACAUCAGUGGCGAAGGCGGCCAUCUGGAUCAACACUGACGCUGAGGCACGAAAGCGUGGGGAGCAAACAGGAUUAGAUACCCCAGUAGUC